This 465-nucleotide ribosomal RNA is filed under the name uncultured bacterium. Its description in RNAcentral is "partial 16S ribosomal RNA". It matches the Rfam family "Bacterial small subunit ribosomal RNA", at positions 338 to 795 of the family's 1533-position model. The record is from RNAcentral.
CCUACGGGUGGCUGCAGUGGGGAAUAUUGCGCAAUGGGCGAAAGCCUGACGCAGCGACGCCGCGUGAGGGAUGAAGGUCUUCGGAUCGUAAACCUCUGUCAGCAGGGAAGAACGGUCACUGUGCUAAUCAGCAGUGAAUUGACGGUACCUGCAAAGGAAGCACCGGCUAACUCCGUGCAAGCAGCCGCGGUAAUACGGAGGGUGCGAGCGUUAAUCGGAAUUACUGGGCGUAAAGCGCUCGUAGGCGGUAUGUCAAGGCAAGGGUGAAAUCCCCGCGCUCAACGUGGGAACUGCCUUUGAAACUGGCAGACUGGAGUGUGUGAGAGGAUAGUGGAAUUCCAGGUGUAGGAGUGAAAUCCGUAGAUAUCGGGAGGAACAUCAGUGGCGAAGGCGACUAUCUGGCACAUAACUGACGCUGAGGAGCGAAAGCGUGGGUAGCAAACAGGAUUAGAUACCCUAGUAGUC